UACAGAGGGGGCAAGCGUUGUUCGGAAUUACUGGGCGUAAAGGGCGCGUAGGCGGCCUGUUAAGUCGAACGUGAAAUCCCCGGGCUCAACCCGGGAACUGCGUCCGAUACUGGCAGGCUUGAAUUCGGGAGAGGGAUGCGGAAUUCCAGGUGUAGCGGUGAAAUGCGCAGAUAUCAGGAGGAACACCGGUGGCGAAGGCGGGUCUCUGGGCCGAUACUGACGCUGAGGAGCGAAAGCGUGGGGAGCGAACAGG
Molecule: ribosomal RNA, 253 nt
Filed under: uncultured bacterium
Lineage: Bacteria
Description: partial 16S ribosomal RNA
Rfam family: Bacterial small subunit ribosomal RNA
Source: RNAcentral